UGGGGAAUUUUGGACAAUGGGGGCAACCCUGAUCCAGCCAUGCCGCGUGUCUGAAGAAGGCCUUCGGGUUGUAAAGCUCUUUCGGCGGGGAAGAAAUUGCACUCUCUAAUACAGGGUGUAGAUGGCGGUACCCGCAUAAGAAGCACCGGCUAACUACGUGCCAGCAGCCGCGGUAAUACGUAGGUGGCUAGCGUUACUCGGAUUUACUAGGCGUAAAGCGUGCGCAGGCGGUUAGGUAAGCCAGAUGUGAAAUCCCCGAGCUCAACUUGGGAAUUGCGUUUGGAACUGUCUAACUAGAGUUUGGCAGAGGGGGGUAGAAUUCCACGUGUAGCAGUGAAAUGCGUAGAGAUGUGGAGGAAUACCGAUGGCGAAGGCAGCCCCCUGGGCUAAAACUGACGCU
This 400-nucleotide ribosomal RNA is filed under the name uncultured bacterium. Its description in RNAcentral is "bacterial SSU rRNA". It matches the Rfam family "Bacterial small subunit ribosomal RNA", at positions 355 to 747 of the family's 1533-position model. The record is from RNAcentral.